GGCUUUAUAGUCAAUAUAUGAUUUUAAAUUGCAAAUUUAAAGGAGGUAAAGUUAUACCUAAGGCUU
Molecule: transfer RNA, 66 nt
Filed under: Callicerus obscurus
Lineage: Eukaryota; Metazoa; Arthropoda; Insecta; Coleoptera; Staphylinidae
Description: tRNA-Cys
Source: RNAcentral